RNAcentral lists this ribosomal RNA (417 nucleotides) under uncultured bacterium. Its description in RNAcentral is "bacterial SSU rRNA". It matches the Rfam family "Bacterial small subunit ribosomal RNA", at positions 356 to 773 of the family's 1533-position model. The record is from RNAcentral.
GGGGAAUCUUGCGCAAUGGGAGCAAUCCUGACGCAGCGACGCCGCGUGGGGGAGGAAGGGCUUCGGCUCGUAAACCCCUGUCGCCCGGGGCGAACCUCUGGUUUCGACCAGACUGACGGUACCGGGUGAGGAAGCACCGGCUAACUCCGUGCCCGCAGCCGCGGUAAGACGUAGGAGGCGAGCGUUAUCCGGAUUCACUGGGCGUAAAGCGCAUGUAGGCGGUUGGACAAGUCGUGUGUUAAAGCCCCUGGCUCAACUGGGGGAGGUCAUGCGAGACUGUGCGACUUGAGGGCAAGAGAGGCACGUGGAACUCCCGGUGUAGCGGUGGAAUGCGUAGAGAUCGGGAAGAACACCAGUGGCGAAGGCGGCGUGCUGGGUUGCACCUGACGCUGAGAUGCGAAAGUGUGGGGAGCAAAC